RNAcentral lists this ribosomal RNA (468 nucleotides) under uncultured bacterium. RNAcentral describes it as "partial 16S ribosomal RNA". It matches the Rfam family "Bacterial small subunit ribosomal RNA", at positions 28 to 507 of the family's 1533-position model. The record is from RNAcentral.
GACGAACGCUGGCGGCGUGCUUAACACAUGCAAGUCGAACGGAAAGGCCCUGCUCUUGUUGGGUGCUCGAGUGGCGAACGGGUGAGUAACACGUGAGUAACCUGCCCUUCCCUUUGGGAUAACUUAAGGACACUGGGGCUUAUCCCGGAUAGGAGCUCCUGCUGCUUUGUGGGGGUUGGUCAGUUUCGGCGGUUGGGGCUGGACUCGCGGCUUAUCCGCUUGUUGGUGGGGUAGUGGCUUACCAAGGCUUCGACGGGUAGCCGGCCUGAGAGGGUGACCGGCCACAUUGGGACUGAGAUACGACGCAGACGCGUACGGGAGGCAGCAGUGGGGAAUAUUGCACAGUGGGCGGAAGCCGGAUGCGGCAGCGCCGCGUGCGGGAUGACGGCCUUUGGGUUGUAAACCACUUUCGCCUGUGACGAAGCGGGAUUGACGGUAAUUGGUAAAGAAGCACCGGCUAACUACGUG